GGGGAAUAUUGCACAAUGGGGGAAACCCUGAUGCAGCAACGCCGCGUGAAGGAAGACGGUCUUCGGAUUGUAAACUUUUGUUCUUGGUGAAGAAGAAUGACGGUAGCCAAGGAGGAAGCCACGGCUAACUACGUGCCAGCAGCCGCGGUAAUACGUAGGUGGCAAGCGUUGUCCGGAAUUACUGGGUGUAAAGGGAGCGCAGGCGGGGAAUCAAGUUGGAUGUGAAAUGUCGGGGCUUAACCCCGGAACUGCAUCCAAAACUGAUAUUCUUGAGUGAAGUAGAGGUAGGCGGAAUUCCGAGUGUAGCGGUGAAAUGCGUAGAUAUUCGGAGGAACACCAGUGGCGAAGGCGGCCUACUGGGCUUUAACUGACGCUGAGGCUCGAAAGUGUGGGGAGCAAAC
This 401-nucleotide ribosomal RNA is filed under the name uncultured bacterium. RNAcentral describes it as "bacterial SSU rRNA". It matches the Rfam family "Bacterial small subunit ribosomal RNA", at positions 356 to 773 of the family's 1533-position model. The record is from RNAcentral.